GGUACGAGAGUUUUUAACUCUAGUGGCGGACGGGUGAGUAACACGUGCAGAAUUUGCCUUUAGGAGGGGGAUAACAAUUGGAAACGAAUGCUAAUACCCCAUAUGCUUUCGAGUGAAAUGGAUUUAUAUUUAUCCGCCUAGAGAGAAGCUCGCGGCUGAUUAGCUUGUUGGUAAGGUAAGAGCUUACCAAGGCGACGAUCAGUAUCUGGUUUGAGAGGACGAUCAGACACACUGGAACUGAGACACGGUCCAGACUCCUACGGGAGGCAGCAGUGGGGAAUUUUCCGCAAUGGGCGAAAGCCUGACGGAGCAAUACCGCGUGAGGGAAGACUGCCUAUGGGUUGUAAACCUCUUUUUUCAGGGAGGAAUCAAUGACGUGUACCUGAAGAAUAAGCAUCGGCUAACUCCGUGCCAGCAGCCGCGGUAAU
This 428-nucleotide ribosomal RNA is filed under the name uncultured bacterium. Its description in RNAcentral is "bacterial SSU rRNA". It matches the Rfam family "Bacterial small subunit ribosomal RNA", at positions 63 to 524 of the family's 1533-position model. The record is from RNAcentral.